Long non-coding RNA from Saccostrea echinata, 168 nucleotides. RefSeq lists it as uncharacterized. The transcript has 2 exons. The record is from RefSeq and is a predicted model, not a curated record. NCBI's taxonomy places the organism in Eukaryota, Metazoa, Mollusca, Bivalvia, Ostreida, Ostreidae.
AGACAUCGAAGGAAAAAAAGAUUCUAAAAGAAGCAAUGGAUAUUUGUCUACUGAAAUCGGAGGCUAAAGUAAGGCACAAAUGAGUCAGAAGACACUUGAAGGAUGGAGAAACUAAAACAACACUCUUUUAUUUCAAUUAUGAAUGAAAUAAAAAUUUUUGCAUUUUGA